Carya illinoinensis is the source of this 1063-nucleotide long non-coding RNA. RefSeq lists it as uncharacterized. The record is from RefSeq and is a predicted model, not a curated record. Lineage: Eukaryota; Viridiplantae; Streptophyta; Magnoliopsida; Fagales; Juglandaceae. The transcript is spliced from 2 exons.
UUCGUUGCUUCUCAUUAUUAUUAUUAUUCGUGUACAACUAUUUAAUUUACAAAAACUUUAAACACAGGCAAACGGGGCGUUUAAUGGAAAAAAAAAAAAAAACCCCAAACCCUGCGCCUCCUGCCUCCACCGCUCGAUGAGGCUCCCUCUCCGUUACAGAACUUCUCACUUUCCAUUACCUCACCGUAACCCCUCUCAAGAUCUCUUCUACUGGCAGACGGUGAGUCUAUCCUCCUUCUUCGUCGUGGAUUGAAUCCGACUUUCGUUCACCAGGUUCCAACGUCUUCCUCUGAUCUAUGAUGAUGAUCCUUGGAUCCGAACCACAUAUUUUACGCCAAGUGGGGACAUUGGUCGGUGUAGUUCUUAUAGAGUUUCAAUCCCACCCCGCCAUGGUGUCAAGUGGAGAAGGACAAUGGAAUAUCUUAAAGAACAAAGAGUGCACGAGAUCUACCUUGACAAGCCACUUAGGAUCAGGGAUGAACCUGAAUUUGGGCUGCCCUUAUCAGAUCCUUUCUUCUGUAUUCAGUACAAGCAAGGGAUAGCUUUUGAGAUAGUGUUCUUGGUGAAUGCUGUCUGGCGCAUAUUCAGUCAGCACCAGUUGUCAGACAAUUUCUUCAAUUUAUUGAGUAGCCAACCCAAAGAGGUCAACAUUGCUGCACUAAAGUACAUAUGUUCUUACAGACGCCUGGUGUUCGAUGCCCUCAGGAGUUAGGAGGCUGAAAACGGUUCAGGAUUGGUUGUUGCGGAAUCCCAAGCUUUUUAAGAGCCCUAGACAGCUUGACGAUAUUGUUGAAGUUAGGAGGUUGGUCAUUACACCAACAAAAGCAUAUUGUCUUCCACCAGAAGUGGAGCUUUCCAACAGAGUUCUCAGGAAGUAUAAAGGAGUUGCUGAUAGGUUUUUAAGGGUCACUUAUAUGGAUGAAGGAAUGCAGACAAUGAAUUCCAAUGUUCUUAACAGCUACGUCUCAUCUAUUGUAAAGCUUAUCACAUCAAACUCUUAUCCACAAAAAACAAAAAAUAUUCCAAAGGGUGAAUAGCAUUUUGAAAAGUGGAUUUCAUGUUU